UGCGGCGGGGUGGGGGACAAAAGGCGGCGGCACAGCGAGCCCGCCAGAGGGGACCUGCCCGCCCGGUCCCGCCCGGUCCCGCCGCGCCGGCCCAACUCACGGCCCAACCGCUGCUGCCCGGGCCGCUGCCAGCACGUCCAAAAACUCCCGCCACCGCGGACGGCUCCGCGCCGGCCAAUCAGGCGCGGCCUUGCCAAUAUCGCCACGCCCACGACCCGCCUUUUCCGGGCAGAGCGAAGCGUGAUUGGCUGUGCGGCCCCUCCGUUCGGCCGUUCAAGCCCGCUGGCGGUCCUGGCAGCUGGGCUGUGACGCGGCCCGGGUGGGACCGGGUCCGGAAGGCGUGAGAACCUCCCGGGAAUUGGGGAUUGGGGGAACCGGUUCCUGCUAACCUGGAAGGGCGGGCGAGACCCUCUGCUCCACCAUCUGAGAAGCACUGGAAGGAGAAGUCAUCUGCCAACCCUUAAGAGUCCUACUUCCAUCAGAGGGGGUCCCAACUCAGGGGCACUCCCCAGACGCGCCCCGGAGAAGAGCAUCCCCGGAGGAGUCAAAGCCUUUGUAAUGGUCCUAGAAAAGCAAGAGCCGCAAGAUGGAUUUUCACAUGCAUUCAGAGAAAGCUGGGACCAAACAAAUAGUCUAUCUGCCUUAAUUACCAUGUAUAAGAUUGGACAACAGAUGUUCUCCUACAUGUGGUUUGCUAAUUUAUUUCAUUCUUUCUGUCCAUUUACAUGAUUCAUUCUGAAAAUUAGUAUUGAGAAAGUGUAAUCGAAUCUUCUGCUCCUCUUGGUAAACAAAAUCUAAUUUCUCACAUUAAUAUGUCAUCUUUCAAUACCAAAACUUAGAGAAAAUUUGUAUUACAACUACCACCCUACACCAUGCGCAAAUUAAAAACCCACACCAUUUUUUAGCUCCAUACAAAUGUGCCAAGGUGCAUUCUUUUAAGAACAGCAGGGGAAAGCAGACAAACACAGCUGCUACCACACUAUCAUGCUAUAUUUAACAUCUAUAAAAGGUGAUUUGACUUUUACUCACAAAUCCUGGCAAAAUUUGAUCACUACCCCCCCUCCUAUUCGUAUACAUUCACGUCUUCCCUGGAAGUCUGGAAAUUUGCCCACAAUUAUAUUUAAAGCCAUAAUUUAAAUGUGAUUAGUUUUGAAAGAAAUGAAUGACUUAUACUAAAAUUACUCAACAUCAAGCAUGUUCUAGAAAAUCUUUUAGAUCAGCAUCCAUUUUUCUAUUAUGUCUAACUAAUACUAGUAAUACUAAAGUGUCUUGAUCCACUUAAGGAGGAUACCGACUUGGUUUUCCAUUAUAUAGUAUAGCUGACCAUAGGAUAUUUAAAUUGGUUUCAAAUUUUACAUUAAUGUUCUUACUGCUGUCCUGUUACCUUAAUUCAUCUUAGUAUUUUAUGGUGUUAGACAUUACUGUCUGCAUAAUGAUCAUAGAAGCUUUAAAUGUAGCGUCUCAUUUUUCCUUAUUAAUGCUGCUACAAAACUUCACUUCUUCACAAGAAAUGAUCAUAUUAUAUACAUAUUUAGAAAAAGAUAAUUAUAUCAUUGAAUGAUACUGCCUUACAUGGUACUUUAAUUCUCGUGUGGUGUGUAACUUGAUUGUAAGCACCAGAGAAUAUGUACUAAGUUUACCAUUUUUUUAAUUAUAAAAACAAAAUAAAUAUGGUAAUAAAAAAUCCAACAUUACAGAAGAUUAAGACACUAAGCAAAAAUCUCCCAUUCUUUACUCCUAGUUCUAUUUAGCAGAGAUAAACAUAUUUAGCCAUUUUAAUUUCAAGUUCUUCUGGUCAUUACCUCUAUAUUACUGAAUAUUAUACUUAGGCCUUGUUUUCUAAAUUUAUCAGCACUCAACAGUAUCAACUGACUUUAUUAGGAAAGAAAAUUAGCUCCCUUCUACUCCCUCUGCUAUCUCCUACUCUCAAUUUUUGCUAAUCUAAUUUUUAUUUCUGUU
This 1959-nucleotide long non-coding RNA is filed under the name Canis lupus familiaris (dog). RNAcentral describes it as "lncRNA (ENSCAFG00845019981.1)". The record is from RNAcentral. Lineage: Eukaryota; Metazoa; Chordata; Mammalia; Carnivora; Canidae.